This 283-nucleotide long non-coding RNA is filed under the name Elaeis guineensis (African oil palm). RNAcentral describes it as "long non-coding RNA (EGUI_LNC032003)". The record is from RNAcentral. Lineage: Eukaryota; Viridiplantae; Streptophyta; Magnoliopsida; Arecales; Arecaceae.
UUUGACCCCUUGGUCCAUUUGAUUCUUGAUGUUGUUUUUGAGUAUUAUUGGAUGAUCGGAUCAUCUCCUGUGAUAGUUUUUUUUUGCUCUUUGUUUAGCUGCAAGAUUGAAGUAAUUGAGCUCUAUUUUCUGCUUCCUAUUGUUCUUUUUCUAGCACUAGAUUAGUUGAGAGUUCUUUACAUUUUCUUAUAAUCUAGUUGAUCCAUGAGCUUAUGUGCUUCUCUUUGUUAGUCUAGACCUAUUUUCUUGUUUUGUUCAAAUCCAAAAAUCUUUGAUCGUACUA